AUUUUCCUUAAGUCAAACUGCCCAGUUACACCUCGAGUUUGCCUUUGCUCAUUCCCUCUGCUUAUUCCACAUAGUGGAUUUCCAGGGUAGGAGGGAACAUGCAGCACUACUGCUGCUGUCUGCUGCAUAAACAACGAAGAGGAUGGGAAGAGGAGAUCCAAGAGAAACAUCUUACCUAUGCAAGUGGUGCUACCACACUCUGAACCAAUAAUAUGUAACAGUGAAACAAGUCUGCAGUUUCACAAGCUCAUCUCACCAAGGACUGAAGAAGAGACACUCCAAAGAUUCAGGAAUAAGUCUGCAGAAAUAUGACACCCAAUUAUUUAAGGUAAAGAAAGUGCUAAUUUUUUAAACAUUCUACUGCUACACUGCUGAUCCCAAGACUGUUUCACUUCUUUGGUCCUCGCUCAUGUUUACCCUCCUCCUAAACUUCAGACCAACACUCUCCAAGCAGUUGAAGGAAAGAGCAAGGCAAGUAAAGCUACAACACUUUGAUGACUGCUGCCAAUAAACUUCAUUUGUUUUCUGCUUUUUUCUUACCU
Long non-coding RNA from Parus major (Great Tit), 542 nucleotides. Lineage: Eukaryota; Metazoa; Chordata; Aves; Passeriformes; Paridae. The record is from Ensembl.